Molecule: transfer RNA, 75 nt
Filed under: Syntrophales bacterium
Lineage: Bacteria; Pseudomonadati; Thermodesulfobacteriota; Syntrophia; Syntrophales
Description: tRNA-Gly
Rfam family: tRNA
About the family: Transfer RNA (tRNA) molecules are approximately 80 nucleotides in length. Their secondary structure includes four short double-helical elements and three loops (D, anti-codon, and T loops).
Source: RNAcentral
GCGGGCGUAACUCAGCGGUAGAGUGCCACCUUGCCAAGGUGGACGUCGACGGUUCAAUUCCGUUCGCCCGCUCCA